Molecule: transfer RNA, 77 nt
Filed under: Helicobacter sp.
Lineage: Bacteria; Pseudomonadati; Campylobacterota; Epsilonproteobacteria; Campylobacterales; Helicobacteraceae
Description: tRNA-Glu
Rfam family: tRNA
About the family: Transfer RNA (tRNA) molecules are approximately 80 nucleotides in length.
Source: RNAcentral
GACCCCUUCAUCUAGAGGCCAAGGAUAUUGCUUUUUUCGGAGCAAAAACGGAAGUUCAAAUCUUUCAGGGGUCGCCA